ACCUGUUUGCCACGAGCUAACGCCGCGAUUUAUACAGUUAGAUCGCGGUGUUCGCGAGUGCCAAGCAGGUA
RNAcentral lists this microRNA precursor (71 nucleotides) under Caenorhabditis brenneri. Its description in RNAcentral is "pre miRNA CBN34017". Lineage: Eukaryota; Metazoa; Nematoda; Chromadorea; Rhabditida; Rhabditidae. The record is from RNAcentral.